This 29-nucleotide non-coding RNA is filed under the name Mus musculus (house mouse). Lineage: Eukaryota; Metazoa; Chordata; Mammalia; Rodentia; Muridae. The record is from RNAcentral.
UGGGAAAAUGUCCUCGGGAUCGGGGUGGG